This 847-nucleotide ribosomal RNA is filed under the name uncultured bacterium. RNAcentral's name for it is "bacterial SSU rRNA". It matches the Rfam family "Bacterial small subunit ribosomal RNA", at positions 58 to 916 of the family's 1533-position model. The record is from RNAcentral.
CAAGUCGAGGAGUAAUCUGAGACCUAGAGCGGCGUACGGGUGCGUAACGCGUAUGCAACCUACCUGUUACUUGGGGAUAGCCCAGAGAAAUCUGGAUUAAUACCCGAUGGUAUCUGAGUUCUGCAUGGGACUUUGAUUAAAGAUUUAUCGGUAACGGAUGGGCAUGCGUCUGAUUAGCUAGUUGGGGGGGUAACGGCCCACCAAGGCGACGAUCAGUAGGGGUUCUGAGAGGAAGGUCCCCCACACUGGCACUGAGAUACGGGCCAGACUCCUACGGGAGGCAGCAGUAGGGAAUAUUGGGCAAUGGUCGGAAGACUGACCCAGCCAUGCCGCGUGCAGGAAGAAGGCCUAUUGGGUUGUAAACUGCUUUUAUCUGGGAAGAAAAAGCCCGUGCGCGGGAGAUUGCCGGUACCAGAUGAAUAAGCACCGGCUAACUCCGUGCCAGCAGCCGCGGUAAUACGGAGGGUGCGAGCGUUGUCCGGAUUUAUUGGGUUUAAAGGGUGCGUAGGCGGCUUGAUAAGUCAGCGGUGAAAGACUUCGGCUUAACCGGAGCAGUGCCGUUGAUACUGUUGAGCUUGAGUGUCGGAGGGGUACAUGGAAUUGAUGGUGUAGCGGUGAAAUGCAUAGAUACCAUCAGGAACACCGAUAGCGAAGGCAUUGUACUGGCCGACAACUGACGCUGAUGCACGAAAGUGUGGGGAUCGAACAGGAUUAGAUACCCUGGUAGUCCACACUGUAAACGAUGAUUACUCGCUGUUAUGGUGUAAGCUGUAGUGGCCAAGCGAAAGCGUUAAGUAAUCCACCUGGGGAGUACGCCGGCAACGGUGAAACUCAAAGGAAUUGACGG